GUGUCCUCAGCUUCAAAUCCAUGGCGCCAUGACGAUCUUAUCUCCAUACUGCGAAAAAGUUAAGUGAGUUCAUUAUUGAUGGGGCCUUUACUUUGGUGAAGCCUGAGCAGGAAAGCGAGAUGAGAGAGAAGAAGUGGUAGAAUUGGAUUCUCUCUCUUUCUCAGCCAGCGUGUUCCCACGCCAAUGAUCUCAGACUCCCAGCUGUCGGUUCGAGACCGUGGAGCCGCCUCCCUAUCCAUUAAAAAGCCCUCCCCUCUCCCCUUCUCCUUCCCACUUUCCACAGUCACUCCCUCUCUCUCUCUUCCUCUGCUUCGUCUCUUCGUUCUAUCCAUCCGGUGAUCCAGACAGAGGACAAGGAUGUAUCCACCAGGGAACCAGGACAUGUCUUACUACGAUCAUGUCCAGCGCCGCCGUGAAGAGAAGGGCUGCCUUUAUGCCUGCUUGUUCGCCGCCUGCUGCUGCUUCUGCUGCGCUGAGACGUGCGAGUGUUGCUUAGACGUCCUCUGUUGCUGCUGCUAGCCGAUUCUGUUCGUAGGCCACCAUCGUGGCCUUCUUCCUUCCGCCAUGAUCUUGCUCCCUUGUCGUUCUUCCUGUAGUGGAUCGUCUUCUUGUUGUUGUUUGCCUGUGGGUGUGAUGGGUGCAUUCUGUGUAAGGCAAGUCGUGUGAUUUGAUGUGAAGCGUUGACCUUGUUCUUGAAUAAACACCAGCGUCUUUCUUGAAAA
Long non-coding RNA from Nymphaea colorata (pocket water lily), 722 nucleotides. RefSeq lists it as uncharacterized. The record is from RefSeq and is a predicted model, not a curated record. The transcript is spliced from 2 exons. NCBI's taxonomy places the organism in Eukaryota, Viridiplantae, Streptophyta, Magnoliopsida, Nymphaeales, Nymphaeaceae.